Long non-coding RNA from Panthera uncia (snow leopard), 855 nucleotides. RefSeq lists it as uncharacterized. The record is from RefSeq and is a predicted model, not a curated record. The transcript is spliced from 3 exons. Lineage: Eukaryota; Metazoa; Chordata; Mammalia; Carnivora; Felidae.
CCUUCGCCUGUUCCAUAAACAUUUAUCGAGCACCGUGCUAUUACCCCAUUCCAUCCCACAACAGCUCUGUGACGUGGACACUGUGCAUUUCAUUGAUUCUAAGAUACAGUCUUAGAAGCCGGAAGCGCGUGCUGAUCGGGGGCGGGGGGUGGGUUAUGAGGGCGAGCAUUUUUCUUUCUUCGUGGUCUAUGCCAACGGCAUGGUUUACACCAACGAAUAGUUCUGCGCGAUACAGAGCUCUGCCGACUUUGCAACUAAGGAAAUAAUCAUGAUGAGAAGACUGAGGCUGAAGAGGUGGCGCAGGGUCACACAGAGCAGGGAUUGGAGCCACAUCCGGCUGACGCCAGCUCCCUGGGUUCUGGACCGCUUGGGAUGUCAGGGAGUCCACCUGCUCUGGCGAGGCCUGUGCUGGGCUCCGGAGAAGAGCCGUGAGCAGGGCAGAUGCGGUCCUGGCUCGCUCAGACCUUCGGCAAUCUGGCGUGGGUGAGUCCCCCCAUGUUUAUACCACAGAGAUCUCAGCCCUCAUGAUCGUCUGGAUUGUGGUGCAGAGUUUGAACUCACAUCUGCCAGACAGCUUUGGAACGUCUAUCAAGGGACGUGCGACAAUAUCCCAAGAACAAACAAUGGCGCAGAAGGCUUUCACGUUGCAAUGCGAACCUCAUUUGCAAACACGCAUCCUAGUUUUUGGAAACGGAUUUUUCUCUUAGGAAGGAAGAAAUUUUAGGGAGAAUCGAAGGCGUGUGACGCUGCACAGAACGAUGAACCUACAGGCAAAGAGACAUGUGCAAUACUCCGACCCAAAGGCUCCGAAGACAAGUGUGAAGGUUCAUCCACCAAAUAAAACCAGCUAUUCUC